GUAGGUGGCAAGCGUUGUCCGGAAUUAUUGGGGCGUAAAGCGCGCGCAGGCGGUUCUUUAAGUCUGAUGUGAAAGCCCACGGGCUCAACCGUGGAGGGUCGUUGGAAACUGGAGAACUUGAGUACAGAAGAGGAAAGCGGAAUUCCACGUGUAGCGGUGAAAUGCGUAGAGAUGUGGAGGAACACCAGUGGCGAAGGCGGCUUUCUGGUCUGUAACUGACGCUGAGGCGCGAAAGCGUGGGGAGCAAACAGGAUUAGAUACCCUGGUAGUCCACGCCGUAAACGAUGAGUGCUAAGUGUUAGGGGGUUUCCGCCCCUUAGUGCUGCAGCUAACGCAUUAAGCACUCCGCCUGGGGAGUACGGCCGCAAAGGCUG
Molecule: ribosomal RNA, 374 nt
Filed under: uncultured organism
Description: partial 16S ribosomal RNA
Rfam family: Bacterial small subunit ribosomal RNA
Source: RNAcentral